GAUGAACGCUGGCGGCGUGCCUAACACAUGCAAGUCGAGCGAUUCUCUUCGGAGAAGAGCRGCGGACGGGUGAGUAACGCGUGGGUAACCUGCCUCAUACACAUGGAUAACAUACCGAAAGGUAUGCUAAUACAGGAURAUAUAAGAGAUUCGCAUGGAUUUYUUAUCAAAGCUCCGGCGGUAUGAGAUGGACCCGCGUCUGAUUAGCUAGUUGGUAAGGUAAUGGCUUACCAAGGCGACGAUCAGUAGCCGACCUGAGAGGGUGAUCGGCCACAUUGGAACUGAGACACGGUCCAAACUCCUACGGGAGGCAGCAGUGGGGAAUAUUGCACAAUGGGCGAAAGCCUGAUGCAGCAACGCCGCGUGAGUGAUGAAGGCCUUCGGGUCGUAAAACUCUGUCCUCAAGGAAGAUAAUGACGGUACUUGAGGAGGAAGCCCCGGCUAACUACGUGCCAGCAGCCGCGGUAAUACGUAGGGGGCUAGCGUUAUCCGGAUUUACUGGGCGUAAAGGGUGCGUAGGUGGUUUCUUAAGUCAGGAGUGAAAGGCUACGGCUCAACCGUAGUAAGCUYUUGAAACUGGGAAACUUGAGUGCAGGAGAGGAAAGUGGAAUUCYUAGUGUAGCGGUGAAAUGCGUAGAUAUUAGGAGGAACACCAGUAGCGAAGGCGGCUUUCUGGACUGUAACUGACACUGAGGCACGAAAGCGUGGGGAGCAAACAGGAUUAGAUACCCUGGUAGUCC
This 740-nucleotide ribosomal RNA is filed under the name uncultured bacterium. RNAcentral describes it as "bacterial SSU rRNA". It matches the Rfam family "Bacterial small subunit ribosomal RNA", at positions 28 to 796 of the family's 1533-position model. The record is from RNAcentral.